RNAcentral lists this transfer RNA (73 nucleotides) under Felis catus (domestic cat). It matches the Rfam family "tRNA". Rfam says of the family: Transfer RNA (tRNA) molecules are approximately 80 nucleotides in length. Their secondary structure includes four short double-helical elements and three loops (D, anti-codon, and T loops). Further hydrogen bonds mediate the characteristic L-shaped molecular structure. tRNAs have two regions of fundamental functional importance: the anti-codon, which is responsible for specific mRNA codon recognition, and the 3' end, to which the tRNAs corresponding amino acid is attached (by aminoacyl-tRNA synthetases). tRNAs cope with the degeneracy of the genetic code in two manners: having more than one tRNA (with a specific anti-codon) for a particular amino acid; and 'wobble' base-pairing, i.e. permitting non-standard base-pairing at the 3rd anti-codon position. The record is from Rfam by way of RNAcentral. Lineage: Eukaryota; Metazoa; Chordata; Mammalia; Carnivora; Felidae. RNAcentral also lists the same sequence under 3 other names.
GGGCACCUGGCUCAGUCAGAAGAGCAUGUGACUCUGGAUCUCAAGGGCAUGAGUUUGAACCCCAUGUUGGGCA